AUGAACGCUGGCGGCGUGCCUAAUACAUGCAAGUCGAGCGAACAGACGAGGAGCUUGCUCCUCUGACGUUAGCGGCGGACGGGUGAGUAACACGUGGAUAACCUACCUAUAAGACUGGGAUAACUUCGGGAAACCGGAGCUAAUACCGGAUAAUAUAUUGAACCGCAUGGUUCAAUAGUGAAAGACGGUUUUGCUGUCACUUAUAGAUGGAUCCGCGCCGCAUUAGCUAGUUAGUAAGGUAACGGCUUACCAAGGCAACGAUGCGUAGCCGACCUGAGAGGGUGAUCGGCCACACUGGAACUGAGACACGGUCCAGACUCCUACGGGAGGCAGCAGUAGGGAAUCUUCCGCAAUGGGCGAAAGCCUGACGGAGCAACGCCGCGUGAGUGAUGAAGGUCUUCGGAUCGUAAAACUCUGUUAUUAGGGAAGAACAAAUGUGUAAGUAACUAUGCACGUCUUGACGGUACCUAAUCAGAAAGCCACGGCUAACUACGUG
This 496-nucleotide ribosomal RNA is filed under the name uncultured bacterium. RNAcentral describes it as "partial 16S ribosomal RNA". It matches the Rfam family "Bacterial small subunit ribosomal RNA", at positions 29 to 507 of the family's 1533-position model. The record is from RNAcentral.